This 502-nucleotide ribosomal RNA is filed under the name uncultured bacterium. RNAcentral describes it as "partial 16S ribosomal RNA". It matches the Rfam family "Bacterial small subunit ribosomal RNA", at positions 30 to 523 of the family's 1533-position model. The record is from RNAcentral.
AUUGAACGCUGGCGGCAGGCUUAACACAUGCAAGUCGAGCGGGCGAGGUUGCUUCGGUAACUGAGCUAGCGGCGGACGGGUGAGUAAUGCUUAGGAAUCUGCCUAUUAGUGGGGGACAACAUUCCGAAAGGGAUGCUAAUACCGCAUACGUCCUACGGGAGAAAGCAGGGGCUCUUAAUGACCUUGCGCUAAUAGAUGAGCCUAAGUCGGAUUAGCUAGUUGGUGGGGUAAAGGCCUACCAAGGCGACGAUCUGUAGCGGGUCUGAGAGGAUGAGCCAACACACUGGGACUGCGACACGGCCCAGACUCCUACGGGAGGCAGCAGUGGGGAAUAUUGGACAAUGGGGGGAACCCUGAUCCAGCCAUGCCGCGUGUGUGAAGAAGGCCUUUUGGUUGUAAAGCACUUUAAGUGGGGAGGAGGCUUACCUGGUUAAUACCUGGGCUAAGUGGACGUUACCCACAGAAUAAGCACCGGCUAACUCUGUGCCAGCCGCCGCCGUAA